CCUAGUCGUAAACUUUAACUUACCCCUCCCAUCGCCCGGGAACUACGAGCUAAGCUUAAAACCCAAAGGACUUGACGGUACCCCAUAUCCCCCUAGAGGAGCCUGUCCUAUAAUCGAUAAUCCCCGCUUAACCUCACCAUUUUUUGCCAAUAGCCUGUAUACCUCCGUCGUCAGCUUACCACGUGAGCGUCAGUGAGCCUAAUGUUCUUCCAACUAUACGUCAGGUCAAGGUGCAACAUAUAAAAUGGAAAGAGAUGGGCUACACUUUCUACCAUAGAAUAAACGAAAGACUAAAUGAAACCUAGUCAAAAGGCGGAUUUAGCAGUAAAGUGAAACUAGAGCGUUCACUUAAAUACGGCACUGGGGUGUGUACACACCGCCCGUCACCCUCCUCAACUCUGCAUAAAAGUUUUUAACACCUUUUCAGAGACUCAGAAGAGGCAAGUCGUAACACGGUAAG
This 460-nucleotide ribosomal RNA is filed under the name Ameerega simulans. Its description in RNAcentral is "partial 12S ribosomal RNA". It matches the Rfam family "Bacterial small subunit ribosomal RNA", at positions 795 to 1500 of the family's 1533-position model. Lineage: Eukaryota; Metazoa; Chordata; Amphibia; Anura; Dendrobatidae. The record is from RNAcentral.